UACGUAGGGUGCGAGCGUUAAUCGGAAUUACUGGGCGUAAAGCGUGCGCAGGCGGUUCGUCGUGUCCGAUGUGAAAGCCCCGGGCUCAACCUGGGAAUGGCAUUGGGAACUGGCGGGCUUGAGUGUGGCAGAGGGGGGUGGAAUUCCGCGUGUAGCAGUGAAAUGCGUAGAGAUGCGGAGGAACACCGAUGGCGAAGGCAGCCCCCUGGGCUAACACUGACGCUCAGGCACGAAAGCGUGGGGAGCAAACAGG
RNAcentral lists this ribosomal RNA (253 nucleotides) under uncultured bacterium. Its description in RNAcentral is "partial 16S ribosomal RNA". It matches the Rfam family "Bacterial small subunit ribosomal RNA", at positions 524 to 776 of the family's 1533-position model. The record is from RNAcentral.